UUCAACUAGUUUUCUUUGGGCUGUUUUAUUGAACUUGCAAUAAAUACUAAUGGAUAUUGAAACCAGUCUCAUUUCAAGCUCAUGUUGACCCUUGUUCAUACAGCAGCUGCUCUCCACUUUUAUCUCACUUUUGAUAAGCUCAUGUGUGUGGCCCGAGACACACAUGUACUUGUAAUGUGUUGCCUCUUCAUCUAUUCUUUUCCAAUCCUCCUCUCAUCUACAACAUGCUACUGUACACACCCUCUUGCCUCUUCAUCUAUUCUCUUCCAAUCCUCCUCUCAUCUACAACAUGCUACUGUACACACCCUUUUGCCUCUUCAUCUAUUCUUUUCCAAUCCUCCUCUCAUCUACAACAUGCUACUGUACACACCCUCUUGCCUCUUCAUCUAUUCUUUUCCAAUCCUCCUCUCAUCUACAACAUGCUACUGUACACACCCUCUUGCCUCUUCAUCUAUUCUUUUCCAAUCCUCCUCUCAUCUACAACAUGCUACUGUACACAUCCUCUUGCCUCUUCAUCUAUUCUUUUCCAAUCCUCCUCUCAUCUACAACAUGCUACUGUACACACCCUCUUGCCUCUUCAUCUAUUCUUUUCCAAUCCUCCUCUCAUCUACAACAUGCUACUGUACACACCCUCUUGCCUCUUCAUCUAUUCUUUUCCAAUCCUCCUCUCAUCUACAACAUGCUACUGUACACACCCUCUUGCCUCUUCAUCUAUUCUUUUCCAAUCCUCCUCUCAUCUACAACAUGCUACUGUACACACCCUCUUGCCUCUUCAUCUAUUCUUUUCCAAUCCUCCUCUCAUCUACAACAUGCUACUGUACACAUCCUCUUGUUCUCCUUAUUCCAAAGACCUUUAUUUCUAUAGGGAAGCUAUUUCGUGUUCUUUAUGUUUUAGAAGAUGGCAUAUAUAUUCAUUAACAAAUAUUUAUCAGUACAAAUAAGAAUAGUUACUUAGUUGUAUGUAUGUAUACAUGUAUGGUUGAUGUUGUUGUAUGGAUAAGAAGUCUGGAUUGUUGGUAUAUACAUGAAAAGGCAGAGAAAAAUGCAUGGAUUUUUUUUUUUUUUUUUUUGUGUGUGUGUGUGUGUGUGUGUGUGUGUGUGUGUGUGUGUGUGUGUGUGUGUGUGUGUGUGUGUGUGUGUGUGUGUGUGUGUGUGUGUGUGUGUGUGUGUGUGUGUGUGUGUACUUUACCUAGUUGUGAUAUACCGUAAGCCAAGGAAUAUGAGUUACCAUGACCCAACUGGUUAACUUUUACUUUGAAAUCAUGAAUACUCCUUUGUAAUUUCAAAGUCUGGGUCAUUCACACAUCAAUACACCAUCAGGGAAAACCACACUACUUCAUGUAUAUCAGUAAUAUUAUCAUUCACUCAUCUACUGGUUGCCUAGGCUACCUGAUGGAAACAAGACACAACUGACUGGUGUGUAAUUACAACUCUCUCUCUCUCUCUCUCUCUCUCUCUCUCUCUCUCUCUCUCUCUCUCUCUCAACACAUCCCAGCCUGUUCCAUUCACUGACAAAUUUCCCAGGGAGGACAUUUCUAACAGUAAAACAUUUUUAUUAUAAUUUCCCCUACAAAAGUACGACCUUAAACAAUGCAGUAAAAAUAAUAAAUAAAGAAAUAAAGAAAUAAAGAAAUAAAGAAAGAAGUAAACAAAGAAGUAAAUAAAUAAAGAAAGGACAGAAUGAGUGAAAAAGAUGCAACAGAAACCUUUUUGCUCCUUAUUACAUUAGUUAGUAUGACCACUGCAGGCCUUUAAAACAACCUGUGUCAGUGCAUGGCAAAGGUCAUCAGGUUUUCUGCAGCAUCUAGACCAGAGCAAUUCUUUACAUCUGGAUAUGUCUGGUGGCUUAAAAAAGACAAGGAAGUGAAGGCAUGUCCUUUCUUUUUAAGUCUGAAUUUUAUGAGAGAUUAUUAUUAUUAUUUUUUUUUUUUUUAAGGUCUGAUUUGCUGCAUUUGAAUUAACCAAUCUUCCAGCAUUCUUUCAUCAGGCUGUGUUUUCUGUACUUCUGGCUGUGUAAUACAAUCAGUGCUGGUGAGAGGCAAGACCUUUAUCAAGAGGAAACCAAAAGAAACAACAAGAAAGAAAUGAGGUCACAGGUACUCCCAAGCCACUCAGUUCACCUGCCUGUCUGCCAACUGUGUCAUGACCUCUGCUCUGUGGCACGAUGCACUGUCUUGCAUAAUAAGGCCGCACUCACACACAUUCACUGAACUGCCUUACUAAACCUCAGUGUAGCAAGCUCCAUUCACUGUCACAUUUUUAGGAGCCACACACACACACACACACACACACACACACACACACACCAAUCUUUCCACUGAGGCAGCUCCACAUCACAAGGGUGGGUGUGUGGCAGUCAACACUAUUCUAAAACACUUGGCUCUCCCAUCAGAGGCACUUUUCUAAGGCUAUGGAGGUGAUUCAUUCCAUUUUCUUGAGUAUUUUUUCUUUCAGAUUGAUGAGGUAGAACACUUGUAAAACUAUAACCACAUUCAUGAGCACAGCCUUGAAAUCCCCAAUAACUUCCACCACUGAUUGUUAUUAGUAAUCAAGAUAAGAUACCAAACUGUUAGGAAAUACAGUCUGUGGCACACAUAUGCCAGGAAUCAAGAGGGUUCAGGUGUUUGGGGCAUCCUUGUACUGCCUCACCAAACUGACAAGCAGCAUGCAUUGUCCCUCACAUCAAAGAAGUUUCCUCUCCUAUGGGUCUUUUGCACUUGGUCUGUGUCGUCUUGCCGUCAUACUAUCACAUGGCUCUGGGAACAAGUUGGAAGGAGUGGGAGUGGUCAACAUUUUCAAGAUGUGAUGCAGCUCAGCAUCCUGUGACACCUGGCAAUGGAUGGCUUGCGAUGGAAAAAAUUAAGUGAACAAAAUAAAGUUCUUUCAAGCAGAAAAUUAUUAGAUUUAUUCAAAACACACAAAAAAAAGUACCAGAAAAAUCUUUUCAGCACUAUGUGAAACAGGUGUCACUUACUGAGUAAACACCACUCCUUUACCUGUGAGCAAACCCUGCUGGGUAAUUAAGUUCUUGAUUCAAAAUUUUAUAUUUCUAAUAGAUUUUGCUGUGUUUUUAAUAAUUCUGAUGUUUGCUUUUCAUUGGAAAUUGAGUUUCUCUUUACUCAAGGUCAGAUGAGUAAUGAAAAAACUAGUGAUUUCCCAGAAAAACAAACAUCAGGUU
This is a long non-coding RNA of Scylla paramamosain (green mud crab), 3178 nucleotides long. RefSeq lists it as uncharacterized. NCBI's taxonomy places the organism in Eukaryota, Metazoa, Arthropoda, Malacostraca, Decapoda, Portunidae. The transcript has 3 exons. The record is from RefSeq and is a predicted model, not a curated record.